GUGCCUGCCGCCGCCGCCGCUGCCGCCGCCGAAGCGGAGACCGGAGCCGCGAGCGCCACCAGGGCAGCAGCCGCCGCAGCCGCCGCCGCUGGACUGAGGAGCCGGAGACGCGGGCGGACGAGGUGGCGGCGGCGGCGGAGCAGGAGCGGAGAUCGAGAGCGGGCAGAGCACGACGGCGAGGGUGUAUUCCAGAGAAUAGAUCUUUAAACAUCUUUGCUGUAUUGACACUGAGCUAUCAGGGGACUAAGGCUUAUGAGGAGGUAUUGUCACACAAAACAGUGCCUCCUGAAGACGACAAGAAAGAGGGAAAAGGAUCGGGAAAAAAGCUAAAAUACUAUAGAAAACCAUGAGAUCUAUUCGAUCUUUUGCCAAUGAUGAUCGCCAUGUUAUGGUGAAACAUUCAACAAUCUAUCCAUCCCCAGAGGAACUUGAAGCCGUUCAGAAUAUGGUGUCUACUGUUGAAUGCGCUCUUAAACAUGUCUCAGAUUGGUUGGAUGAAACAAAUAAGGGCACAAAAACAGAGGGUGAGACAGAAGGGAAGAAAGACGAGGCUGGAGAAAACUAUUCCAAGGAUCAAGGUGGUCGGACAUUGUGCGGUGUAAUGAGGAUUGGCUUGGUUGCAAAAGGUUUGCUGAUUAAAGAUGAUAUGGACUUGGAGCUGGUUUUAAUGUGCAAAGACAAACCCACAGAGACCCUGUUAAAUACAGUCAAAGAUAACCUUCCUAUUCAAAUUCAGAAACUCACAGAGGAGAAAUAUCAAGUGGAACAGUGUAUAAAUGAGGCAUCUAUUAUAAUUCGGAAUACAAAAGAGCCCACACUAACUUUGAAGGUGAUACUUACUUCCCCUCUAAUUAGAGACGAAUUGGAGAAGAAGGAUGGAGAAAAUGUUUCAUUGAAAGAUCCUCCGGACUUAUUGGACAGGCAGAAAUGCUUAAACGCCUUGGCGUCUCUUCGACAUGCCAAAUGGUUUCAGGCCAGGGCAAAUGGAUUAAAAUCAUGUGUAAUUGUCCUCCGAAUUCUGCGUGAUUUGUGCAACAGAGUCCCCACAUGGGCACCAUUAAAAGGAUGGCCAUUAGAACUUAUAUGUGAAAAGUCUAUAGGUACUUGUAAUCGACCUUUGGGUGCUGGGGAGGCCUUGAGAAGAGUAAUGGAGUGUUUGGCGUCUGGAAUACUACUGCCUGGGGGUCCUGGUCUUCAUGAUCCUUGUGAGCGAGAUCCAACAGAUGCUCUGAGCUAUAUGACCAUACAGCAAAAAGAAGAGAUUACUCACAGUGCACAGCACGCACUCAGACUGUCAGCCUUUGGCCAGAUUUAUAAAGUGCUGGAGAUGGACCCCCUUCCAUCUAGUAAGCCUUUUCAGAAGUAUUCCUGGUCAGUUAAUGAUAAAGAAGGUGCUGGGUCUUCAACUCUAAAGAGGCCAUUUGAAGAUGGAUUAGGGGAUGAUAAAGACCCCAAUAAGAAGAUGAAACGAAACUUAAGGAAAAUCUUGGAUAGUAAAGCAAUAGACCUUAUGAAUGCACUCAUGAGGCUAAAUCAGAUCAGGCCCGGGCUUCAGUAUAAGCUCUUAUCUCAGUCUGGCCCUGUCCAUGCCCCAGUCUUCACAAUGUCUGUAGAUGUGGACGGCACAACAUAUGAAGCCUCAGGACCAUCCAAGAAAACAGCAAAACUUCAUGUAGCAGUGAAGGUAUUGCAGGCAAUGGGAUACCCAACAGGCUUCGAUGCAGAUAUUGAAUGUAUGAGUUCCGAUGAGAAAUCAGAUAAUGAAAGCAAAAAUGAAACAGUGUCUUCAAAUUCAAGCAAUAAUACUGGAAAUUCUACAACUGAAACCUCCAGUACCUUAGAGGUAAGAACUCAGGGCCCUAUCCUCACAGCAAGUGGCAAAAACCCUGUAAUGGAGCUCAAUGAAAAAAGAAGAGGUCUCAAGUAUGAACUCAUCUCAGAGACUGGGGGAAGCCAUGACAAGCGCUUUGUAAUGGAGGUAGAAGUAGAUGGACAGAAAUUCAGAGGCGCAGGUCCAAAUAAAAAAGUGGCAAAGGCAAGUGCAGCGUUAGCUGCCCUGGAGAAGCUAUUUUCUGGACCCAAUGCAGCAAAUAAUAAGAAAAAGAAGAUUAUCCCUCAGGCGAAGGGUGUUGUGAAUACAGCUGUGUCUGCAGCAGUCCAGGCUGUUCGGGGCAGAGGAAGAGGAACUCUAACAAGAGGAGCUUUUGUGGGGGCGACAGCUGCUCCUGGCUACAUAGCUCCAGGGUAUGGAACACCAUAUGGUUACAGUACAGCUGCCCCUGCUUAUGGUUAAUACUUUUAAGCAGUUUUCAGCACGUUUAUCUCACUUUAUUCUCGUUCUCCUCGGACCUUCGUAGCCAUAUCACUUGUAUAAAAUAGGCUGAGAUAUAGUGACUGUAAGCUGUGAUCUCAGUAUACAAAGAAUCAACAUUAGCAAGACUCACAAUGGUGAAUACCAAGUCUGCAGAGACCAAAUAGACUUGAAGCAAUUCAUCUGUCUUUUCUAGGUUAGGUAGCUUAAUUCCAUUUUCCCCACCUUAUUCAACCAUUAUGGAGUUUGUUUAAAAGAUUUGAGAGAGUUAGGCCAAAUAUUUUAAUAAGGAUUUGCUUCAUUUAAUAUGUCCCAUAAAUUCAUUUCAUUAUGUGCUAGAUGUUCUGUGCUAAGGCUGUAUUUGAUAUAUAGAUAUUAAAAUGAAUUUCAUGUUUUAUAUUUGUUUCUAAGUGGCAGUUUCUUUUGAUUAUUAACUUUAAGGUUGCUGGAACAACUUUCUUUUCCAUACAGAAUCUAUAUGUACAUAAUCUGACUUUGGCGUACAUAAAAAGGUUGUAUGAGGUAUAGCUGAUUAGAACCAAGUGGUUCAAGCACUCCAGUCCUGCUUGAACAGCCCAGUACCUGUCAUGAGGCGGGUUUUUUUUUUUUAGGUGGGGGGUAACCAGAGAACAGAGGCUCUGACCAUUGGAAACAUUUUAAGUUUGAAAGUCUCCGUAUUGGUAGAAUUUGGCCUAUUGUAAAUACGCCCUGUUUAUAUCCUAUUUUGGGAGACAAAUAGUGUGUUAGCUGUGGCAAAAAGAAUAUUAACUUAGUUAAUAGCUUAUUUAUAAAUUAUUGAAUAAUGUAGGCUCUUCUUCACCACUGAAAUAGGCAAGAUGUGGAAAUUUACCCAUUUAAAAUACUUUCUCAGCAGUUUGGAGAGGUUGAAACCUAUUCAGGUUUCUGUUAGGAGAGGCUGAACCCUAUUCAGGUUUCUGUUAGGGGACCUCUUCCAAGUAAGUGAACUGAGUGAAGUGAAUAAUUCAGUCCUUUUUAUGUAGUUUUUGUAGUAUAGCCAAGAACAAAGUAGUAAAUUUAAAUACUGACCACAUUUUUUUUUUUUUUAUGCAGAAUGAGGGGAAUUUCCCCCUUUUAAUCAAUCUACUAUAAUUUUCCUGUUCCUUAGAUUUUAUGAAUAACUUCAGUGGAGAAAACCUCCAGCAGUGAGUUAAGGGAACUAAGGAGAUUUCCCCCCACCCCCAAGCAAUUCUAUUUCUAAUAACCCAGAUCCCUAAAAGCCAGGGACAUUAAGAGCAGUUAAGGCUGAAAACAACCUGCUCUAUGAAUGGCCUUUCCAUAAUUCCCAUUCAUCUUGCGGCAGAGAGAGAGUGGGGGCAUCUCUGAAAUCUUGCAGAAUAAGAAAAAUUUCAUGAUAUUCAAACUCAUACUGUCUAACAGUCUGACACUAUGCCACGGAUUUCCAGUGACCAUAGAUUUCUCAGUGUUACUAGGAGGCCUGGGAAGGAGAUGGGUGGUAAAUGAAUAACAACAGCAGAGCCAAGAAACUACUGCUGAGGUGAGUUUCAAUAUUGGUGUUUCUCUCCAGCUCUCAUUUGCAGAGCACAGAAUUAAGAUAUAAGAAUGGAUCUUUUCCUUUCCUAUUAGGAUUUUCCAGAAACACUGUUUUAAGUCAAGAAUUCAAGUUGUGUUAGUUGUAAGAAUAGAAAUCUUUUCUGAUGUUAUCAUUUUAGGUAGGAGUUAACAGCUUCCAUUGAUGCUUGAAGCAGUGAUCUUUGGAGGUUUUUAACAUAGUACAAUAAUACAGAUUAGGUUAUGUAAGCUUUAUAGCACAGCUAGAUAAUAGGGAAUAAAACCAUGUGGGAAUCUAGGCCAAAGUAUUUCUCUUCCUCCAGCAUAUUCCUGUGGGCCUCAGGAAUUAGAUGAGUUAAUUAAUACACAAAAAGUACUUUGAACAAUAUACCUGGUGCAUAGUAAGUACUUAGUAAAUAAAUGUUGACUGUUCUUAACUAUGGCUGGCCAAGGUGAAAGCAGGAACGUGAGGGAGGUUACAGCUGUGCUGACAGGUGGUUGGGAAGCAGGUGCAUGGCUGGUUAGGUGGAGCUAUGUUGGUUCCUUAGUGCUGAUAAGUUUCAGCUGCUCUCAGGCUUGGGCCAGGACUCCUAGCAUCUGGAGGUUGGCCAAGAAACACAAACUGAAGACUCAGUGAGAGCUGACGUGGUCACAGUUGGGAAAUUGCUUUUCGAUGAAAGGAAAAAUGGAUAGACGAUGAUAUGGAAACUGUCAGUUUAAAUAGAGUAUACAUUUUACUGUCCAUUCCUGGCUUGAGAGUAUGAACAAACACUUCAGGAGACUCCGAAGAAGGGUGUGUCUCUGGCUGUUGCUAAGAGCGUGGUUGAAGCAGCAGCCUGCUUUCGUGGACUGUCAUCAGUGCCUCGCCCAGAGAUGCCUGGCCUUCAUCCAAAGGGACCCUGCUGCCCCGACUCCUGCAGGCAGCAUCCACACUGUGGCUUC
This is an RNA transcript of Nycticebus coucang (slow loris), 4783 nucleotides long. It is a transcript of the gene named spermatid perinuclear RNA binding protein, with no coding region annotated. The transcript is spliced from 21 exons. The record is from RefSeq and is a predicted model, not a curated record. NCBI's taxonomy places the organism in Eukaryota, Metazoa, Chordata, Mammalia, Primates, Lorisidae.